UACAGGGGGGGCAAGCGUUGUUCGGAAUUACUGGGCGUAAAGGGCUCGUAGGCGGCCAACUAAGUCACACGUGAAAUCCCCAGGCUUAACCUGGGAACUGCGUGUGAUACUGGAUGGCUUGAAUCCGGGAGAGGGAUGCGGAAUUCCAGGUGUAGCGGUGAAAUGCGUAGAUAUCUGGAGGAACACCGGUGGCGAAGGCGACAUCCUGGACCAAUUCUGACGCUGAGGAGCGAAAGCCAGGGGAGCAAACGGG
Molecule: ribosomal RNA, 253 nt
Filed under: uncultured bacterium
Lineage: Bacteria
Description: partial 16S ribosomal RNA
Rfam family: Bacterial small subunit ribosomal RNA
Source: RNAcentral